ACCGAAAUGGUGGUUGGAAGGAUGAGGGUUGGUGCUGGGGUUUGGGGUUAGGCUUAGAGUUGGUGGUGGAGUUGCAGGGGUACCUGGUAAGGGAUAGGGCUAGGGCUAGGGCUAGGGUUGGGCUUAUGAGGAUGGGGAAGUCGCAGGAUAGGAUUAGGAGAAGAUGAAGAGAGGGAUAAGAAAAAAAAGGGAAAAAGAAUGAUCCACAUAAGGAGAAAAAGAACAGGCCAAUAGAUGGUACUAGAGACAGCAAGCCAGCACUGGCACAUCUUGCAGAUGGCACACUUUCUCAUCGGCAAAGUAAGAGAUAGAGACAUAGGUGUGGA
RNAcentral lists this long non-coding RNA (326 nucleotides) under Elaeis guineensis (African oil palm). RNAcentral describes it as "long non-coding RNA (EGUI_LNC041546)". The record is from RNAcentral. Lineage: Eukaryota; Viridiplantae; Streptophyta; Magnoliopsida; Arecales; Arecaceae.